RNAcentral lists this transfer RNA (61 nucleotides) under Pinnotheres excussus. RNAcentral describes it as "tRNA-Cys". Lineage: Eukaryota; Metazoa; Arthropoda; Malacostraca; Decapoda; Pinnotheridae. The record is from RNAcentral.
AAUCCUGUAGUAUAAAAAUAAUGUUAAAUUGCAAAUUUAAAGAUGUGUUAAUCACUAGGAU